Molecule: ribosomal RNA, 251 nt
Filed under: uncultured bacterium
Lineage: Bacteria
Description: partial 16S ribosomal RNA
Rfam family: Bacterial small subunit ribosomal RNA
Source: RNAcentral
UACGUAGGGUGCGAGCGUUAAUCGGAAUUACUGGGCGUAAGCGUGCGCAGGCGGUUCGUUGUGUCGGCGGUGAAAGCCCCGGGCUUUAACCUGGGAAUGGCCGUUGAAACUGGCGAACUGGAGUGUGGCAGAGGGGGUGGAAUUCCGCGUGUAGCAGUGAAAUGCGUAGAGAUGCGGAGGAACACCGAUGGCGAAGGCAGCCCCCUGGGCUAACACUGACGCUCAGGCACGAAAGCGUGGGGAGCAACAGG